RNAcentral lists this RNase P RNA (472 nucleotides) under Haladaptatus sp. R4. RNAcentral describes it as "RNase P RNA component". It matches the Rfam family "Archaeal RNase P". Rfam says of the family: Ribonuclease P (RNase P) is a ubiquitous endoribonuclease, found in archaea, bacteria and eukarya as well as chloroplasts and mitochondria. Its best characterised activity is the generation of mature 5'-ends of tRNAs by cleaving the 5'-leader elements of precursor-tRNAs. Cellular RNase Ps are ribonucleoproteins. Lineage: Archaea; Methanobacteriati; Methanobacteriota; Halobacteria; Halobacteriales; Haladaptataceae. The record is from RNAcentral.
GGCAGAGGGAGCCCGGUUUCCGCGGUGCACGUGGUAAUCGCUGCGUGCGGACGUACCGAUUUCCGGUACCUACGUGAGGAAAGUCCCCCCACCCGCCGGGUAGGCAACCGGACGCAAGUCCGGAGUGGGAGACCACUGGCUCUGAAACAGAAACGAGACCACUUCGCGUGACCGAUGAGGUGUGCGAACCGACCCGAGAGGGGAGGAAGCUAACCCACCGAGGGAUUUGGUGGCACUGCCACCGAACGGCGCGACGGUGAAACCCCCGCGUCGAUGCGUGCCGACGCUGUCGGCACGCGGACCGCGAAGAAUGGAUGGAACGGUGAAUCCUUGCCGGUGCAAGUCCGUGCCAUAUUGGUAGCCCGGACACGCCGUCGGAAUCCUCCGACGUGCCUCCGGAGAUAAUCCGGGGAUGGUUCGGACGCUGAGCCGAAUACUGGGCCGAACAGAAGGGGGCUUACUCCCCUCAGCC